Molecule: ribosomal RNA, 253 nt
Filed under: uncultured bacterium
Lineage: Bacteria
Description: partial 16S ribosomal RNA
Rfam family: Bacterial small subunit ribosomal RNA
Source: RNAcentral
UACGUAGGGUGCGAGCGCUAAUCGGAAUUACUGGGCGUAAAGCGUGCGCAGGCGGUUCUCCAAGUCCGUUGUGAAAGCCCCGGGCUCAACCUGGGAAUGGCAGUGGAAACUAGGGGACUGGAAUCUGGCAGAGGGGGGUGGAAUGCCGCGUGUAGCAGUGAAAUGCGUAGAGAUGCGGCGGAACACCGAUGGCGAAGGCAGCCCCCUGGGCUGAGAUUGACGCUCAUGCACGAAAGCGUGGGGAGCAAACAGG